This 402-nucleotide ribosomal RNA is filed under the name uncultured bacterium. RNAcentral describes it as "bacterial SSU rRNA". It matches the Rfam family "Bacterial small subunit ribosomal RNA", at positions 355 to 774 of the family's 1533-position model. The record is from RNAcentral.
UAGGGAAUAUUGCAAAAUGGGCGAAAGCCCGAUGCAGCAACGCCGCGUGGGCGACGAAGGCCUUCGGGUCGUAAAGCCCUUUUGAGGGGAUGAGGAAGGACAGUACCCUCAGAAUAAGCCUCGGCUAACUACGUGCCAGCAGCCGCGGUAAAACGUAGGAGGCGAGCGUUAUCCGGAUUUACUGGGCGUAAAGCGCGUGCAGGCGGAUUGGAGAGUUGGAUGUGAAAGCUCCCGGCUUAACUGGGAGAGGUCGUUCAAUACUUCCAGUCUUGAGUGCAGUAGAGGGAAGUGGAAUUCCGGGUGUAGUGGUGAAAUGCGUAGAUAUCCGGAGGAACACCAGUGGCGAAAGCGGCUUCCUGGACUGUAACUGACGCUCAGACGCGAAAGCUAGGGUAGCAAACG